GACGAACGCUGGCGGCGUGCUUAACACAUGCAAGUCGAGCGGUAAGGCCCUUUCGGGGUACGACGAGCGGCGAACGGGUGAGUAACACGUGGGUGACCUCGCCCUCCAGCUCUGGGAGUAAGCCUGGGAAACGUAGGGUCGUAAUACUGGAUAUGACUCCACGGUGCAUGUCGUGGGGUGGAAAGCCUUGUGCGGCUGAGGAUGGGCCCGCGGCCUAUCAGCUUGUU
Molecule: ribosomal RNA, 227 nt
Filed under: uncultured bacterium
Lineage: Bacteria
Description: partial 16S ribosomal RNA
Rfam family: Bacterial small subunit ribosomal RNA
Source: RNAcentral